Molecule: transfer RNA, 88 nt
Filed under: Chloroflexota bacterium
Lineage: Bacteria; Bacillati; Chloroflexota
Description: Chloroflexi bacterium tRNA-Ser
Rfam family: tRNA
About the family: Transfer RNA (tRNA) molecules are approximately 80 nucleotides in length. Their secondary structure includes four short double-helical elements and three loops (D, anti-codon, and T loops). Further hydrogen bonds mediate the characteristic L-shaped molecular structure. tRNAs have two regions of fundamental functional importance: the anti-codon, which is responsible for specific mRNA codon recognition, and the 3' end, to which the tRNAs corresponding amino acid is attached (by aminoacyl-tRNA synthetases). tRNAs cope with the degeneracy of the genetic code in two manners: having more than one tRNA (with a specific anti-codon) for a particular amino acid; and 'wobble' base-pairing, i.e. permitting non-standard base-pairing at the 3rd anti-codon position.
Source: RNAcentral
GAGAGGUGCCAGAGUGGUUGAUUGGGGCCGCCUGCUAAGCGGUUGUACCUGUUAAAGGGUACCGCAGGUUCGAAUCCUGUCCUCUCCG